AGUAUCUCCAAAGCGUGUGUACAAAAGACUUGAGAAGCGUAGCAUAUGUCUCGUUCACAAGCAGAAAGGAGAAGUAAGGUUUUGCUUUUCGCUCGAUUUGCAACGCUGGCACCUAAUUAAGACGCCAUUUGCAAUACACACCAGACAGCCUAUGUUGGACACCAACACACUUAACAACAAAACGAUUAUCUUUUCUACUCUUUGAAAAAGGUGAAAUAAAGUCACCGAAACUGUCGGAUUAAGAAACAAAAAAUCGUUUUUGCUUCUAUACACGGACUGAUUAAGCCGAUAAAUCUACAAAAAUAUAUUCGGAC
Molecule: long non-coding RNA, 314 nt
Organism: Wyeomyia smithii (pitcher-plant mosquito)
Lineage: Eukaryota; Metazoa; Arthropoda; Insecta; Diptera; Culicidae
Exons: 3
Source: RefSeq, a predicted model, not a curated record